This 440-nucleotide ribosomal RNA is filed under the name uncultured bacterium. RNAcentral's name for it is "partial 16S ribosomal RNA". It matches the Rfam family "Bacterial small subunit ribosomal RNA", at positions 338 to 795 of the family's 1533-position model. The record is from RNAcentral.
CCUACGGGCGACUGCAGUAGGGAAUUUUGCGCAAUGGGCGAAAGCCUGACGCAGCAACGCCGCGUGAUCGAGACGCCCUUCGGGGUGUAAAGAUCUGUCAGUGGGGACGUAACUUGACGGUACCCACAGAGGAAGCACCGGCUAACUCCGUGCCAGCAGCCGCGGUAAUACGGGGGGUGCAAGCGUUGUCCGGAAUCAUUGGGCGUAAAGGGUUCGUAGGCGGCACGUAAAGUCUGGUGUUAAAGGCAGAGGCUCAACUUCUGUACGGCACUGGAUACUGGCGAGCUAGAAUGCGGUAGGGGUAGGCGGAAUGCCUGGUGUAGCGGUGAAAUGCUUAGAUAUCAGGCAGAACAUCGAUGGCGAAGGCACUUUACUGGGCCGUAAUUGACGCUGAUGCACGAAAGCGAGGGUAGCAAACAGGAUUAGAUACCCUAGUAGUC